GGUGCCGUGGCCGAGCGGACCAUGGCAAUCGGCGUGAGCGAGGCCCCCUCACGUCGACUGAUGGAGACGGGGCGGGCCUGCUCCUAUCCGUCCGCGGGUUCGAAUCCCGUCGGCACCG
RNAcentral lists this transfer RNA (118 nucleotides) under Streptomycetaceae bacterium. RNAcentral's name for it is "tRNA-Arg". It matches the Rfam family "tRNA". From Rfam's summary of the family: Transfer RNA (tRNA) molecules are approximately 80 nucleotides in length. Their secondary structure includes four short double-helical elements and three loops (D, anti-codon, and T loops). Further hydrogen bonds mediate the characteristic L-shaped molecular structure. tRNAs have two regions of fundamental functional importance: the anti-codon, which is responsible for specific mRNA codon recognition, and the 3' end, to which the tRNAs corresponding amino acid is attached (by aminoacyl-tRNA synthetases). tRNAs cope with the degeneracy of the genetic code in two manners: having more than one tRNA (with a specific anti-codon) for a particular amino acid; and 'wobble' base-pairing, i.e. permitting non-standard base-pairing at the 3rd anti-codon position. Lineage: Bacteria; Bacillati; Actinomycetota; Actinomycetes; Kitasatosporales; Streptomycetaceae. The record is from RNAcentral.